CGGGACGGGUGAGUAACGCGUGGGUAACCUGCCUUGUACUGGGGGACAACAGUUAGAAAUGACUGCUAAUACCGCAUAAGCGCACAGUAUCGCAUGAUACAGUGUGGAAAACUCCGGUGGUACAAGAUGGACCCGCGUCUGAUUAGCUAGUUGGUAAGGUAAGGGCUUACCAAGGCGACGAUCAGUAGCCGACCUGAGAGGGUGACCGGCCACAUUGGGACUGAGACACGGCCCAA
Molecule: ribosomal RNA, 236 nt
Filed under: uncultured bacterium
Lineage: Bacteria
Description: partial 16S ribosomal RNA
Rfam family: Bacterial small subunit ribosomal RNA
Source: RNAcentral